This 125-nucleotide small RNA is filed under the name Marmota monax (woodchuck). Lineage: Eukaryota; Metazoa; Chordata; Mammalia; Rodentia; Sciuridae. The record is from RNAcentral.
GCUGGGUGUGGUGGUUCAUGCCUGUAUUCCCAGCGUCGUGGGAGGCUGAGGCUGGAGGAUCAUGAGUUCAAAGCCAGUCUCAGCAAAAGGGAGGCGCUAAGCAACUCAGUGAGACCCUGUCUCUA